This 446-nucleotide ribosomal RNA is filed under the name uncultured bacterium. Its description in RNAcentral is "partial 16S ribosomal RNA". It matches the Rfam family "Bacterial small subunit ribosomal RNA", at positions 338 to 795 of the family's 1533-position model. The record is from RNAcentral.
CCUACGGGGUGCAGCAGUCGAGAAUCAUUCACAAUGGGGGAAACCCUGAUGGUGCGACGCCGCGUGGGGGAAUGAAGGUCUUCUGAUUGUAAACCCCUGUCAUGUGGGAGCAAAUUAAAAAGAUAGUACCACAAGAGGAAGAGACGGCUAACUCUGUGCCAGCAGCCGCGGUAAUACAGAGGUCUCAAGCGUUGUUCGGAAUCACUGGGCGGAAAGCGUGCGUAGGCGGUUUCGUAAGUCGUGUGUGAAAGGCGCGGGCUCAACCCGCGGACGGCACAUGAUACUGCGAGACUAGAGUAAUGGAGGGGGAACCGGAAGUCUCGGUGUAGCAGUGAAAUGCGUAGAUAUCGAGAGGAACACUCGUGGCGAAGGCGGGUUCCUGGACAUUAACUGACGCUGAGGCACGAAGGCCAGGGGAGCGAAAGGGAUUAGAUACCCCAGUAGUC